CUUUUUUAUUUUCCACAUUGCUAUUUUGGAGGUCGCCAGAGAGUGCUCCAUCUACCCUUAGAUGUGUGUGCCCCUUUCUUUGCAGAAGAGUGGACGUCACACUCCCAGCAGCCGGCCCGUCUGCCCUCUGCCUCCCCUCUCUCCAUGUAGCAGCCCAUCGUGGAUGAUCCUGUUGGCUGGAGCUCUUUCAUCAGUUUCUUUACCAGCAACUGUGGUGCUCCCUGGACCUCUGGAAUGGAGAAGAGUCGGCGCAAACUGGCCCAGGUCUGGCUGCGUCCUGGUGCGCCCCCUGUGCCUCCCCACUGCACACCUGGACAUCCAGGGCCUCCUGGCUGCUGCAGCGC
RNAcentral lists this long non-coding RNA (344 nucleotides) under Pan troglodytes (chimpanzee). RNAcentral describes it as "long non-coding RNA NONPTRT006432". The record is from RNAcentral. Lineage: Eukaryota; Metazoa; Chordata; Mammalia; Primates; Hominidae.